Molecule: non-coding RNA, 73 nt
Organism: Rhodanobacter sp.
Lineage: Bacteria; Pseudomonadati; Pseudomonadota; Gammaproteobacteria; Lysobacterales; Rhodanobacteraceae
Source: Rfam
GCCGGCAUAGCUCAGUUGGUAGAGCAACUGAUUUGUAAUCAGUAGGUCGCGGGUUCGACUCCUGCUGCCGGCA